CUACUUCAUUCUUCCGGUAUUAUGGCCGCUUGCAGUGUAAGGGACAACGAGUGUGAAAUGUUAUGAUUGUGGAACGUUUUCGGUGAAACCGGUGGAUUAAGGAUGCUCGUGACCGUGAUGUUACGGUUUCCCGUCUGUCGGCCGUCAGUUCGGGCAGUGCUUCACUGUCAGAGGCGCUUUAGCAAGAUACAGGCAUCCACUGCUUUGUCUGAGCGCGUGCGGGUCUUUGAGUCUCUCAGAGAGAGGCAGGGACAGCAGAGGACAAGCGGCACCACGAAACAGGCCUUCAGCGUCCGAUUGGCUGAUGGCAGGACGGUGAAUGGCACCACAGGCGUGACCACGCCCUCAAUCAUCGCUCAGAACGCAUGUGUGAAAGGUGCUCUGGUCUGCAGGGUGAAUGGAGAGCUGUGGGAGCUGCUUCGCCCCCUGGAGGCUGACUGUGAACUACAGCUGCUAGGCUUCAACACCACAGAGGGCAAACAGGCGGUGUGGAGGACAGGAGCGUGUGUUGUGGGGUGGGUGUUAGAGAGGGUGUUUGGGGUGGAAGUGUGCAGAGAGGGUGUGUCAGAGUCUGGCCUCUACUGUGACCACCUCCCGGAGAACAGUGCCCUGUCCCUAGCUGAGCUAGAGGAUAGAUGUAAGGAGGCCGCUGGCCAGAAGCUUCCUCUCUCCAGGCUGGAGCUGAACAGGCAGGAAGUUACAGAGCUCUUCCAGGACAAUGCACUGAGACUCCAGUUGAUUGAAGAACAGAUGAGUGGUCCUACUGUCACAGUCUACAGGUGUGGAGACAGCAUAGGAGUCUGCAAUGGUCCUCUCCUCCCUAACACUGCUCUCCUCAAGGUCUUCAAGAUGCUGCAGGUGUCUCCCGUAACGUUGACCAAUCCUGUUGGCACGUCAGGCGUGAUGCGUGUGAUGGGUGUGGCCUUCCCAAGAGAGAAGGAGAGGGAGGAGUGGGAGAGGGAACAGGAGGAGACACGGAAGAGAGACCACAGACGCAUCGGCAAGGACCAGGAGCUGUUCUUCUUUAAUGACGUCAGUCCUGGAAGCUGCUUCUUCCUGCCUAAAGGAGCUCACAUCUACAACACACUCGCUGACUUUAUCAGGACUGAGUACAGGAGGCGUGGCUUCCAUGAGGUUGUGACCCCUACUCUAUACAGCACUGCACUGUGGGAGCGUUCGGGUCACUGGGAACACUACAGUGAAAACAUGUUUACUGUGACCGGUGACACACACACCUAUGCACUCAAACCCAUGAACUGUCCUGCACACUGUCUGAUGUUUGAGCAGCGUGUAAGGUCAUGGAGGGAGCUCCCCUUGCGUUGGGCCGAUUUCGGGGCACUGCAUCGGAACGAACUGUCCGGCGCUCUGGGUGGUCUCACCCGGGUCCGCAGGUUCUGCCAGGACGACGCACACAUCUUCUGCACUCCUGAGCAGUUGGAGGAGGAGAUCAUAGCGUGUUUGGACUUUGUGAGGAGUGUGUAUCGAGUUUUUGGAUUCUCCUUCCACUGUCUCCUCUCCACCCGACCUACACCCUGCCUGGGGGAGCCUGCACUGUGGGACCAUGCUGAGCAGCAGUUGGAGAGGAGUCUGCAGCAGUUUGGAGAGCGCUGGCAGUUCAACCCAGGAGAUGGAGCGUUCUACGGGCCGAAGAUUGACAUCCAGAUCAAGGACGCCAUUGGUCGACAGCACCAGUGUGCCACCAUCCAAUUGGACUUCCAGCUACCAAUCAGAUUUGACCUGCAGUAUGUGGGGGGGGAUGGAGAGACCCACAGACCAGUGAUGGUCCACAGAGCUGUUCUGGGAUCUCUGGAACGCAUGAUCGCUAUAUUGGCUGAGAAUUUUUCGGGGAAAUGGCCUCUGUGGUUGUCUCCAGCGCAGGUCAUGAUUAUUCCUGUAGGGGGAGGUAGUGAGUCAUAUGCGCAACAGGCUUUUUACAAGACAUUGCCAAUACAUCCUCCUGUAUGUAAUGCGCAUGUAGCCCCAGGGGAGGAGAAUCUAUCAACACUGCUGAUCUGGGGUCUGUCAUGAUGAUACAUAGCCAGGUGGUCCGACAGUUCCGUGAGGCCGGCUUCAUGGCUGACGCGGAUGAUGACCACGGUGCCACCUUAAAUAAGAAAAUCCGCUCUGCACAGCUGGCCCAGUACAACUACAUAUUUGUGGUAGGCGAGAAGGAGUGUGUGAGUGGCACGGUGAGUGUAAGGACCAGAGGGGGGAAGCAGCUAGGGAGGAGACCGACAGAGAAGGUCCUGGCAUCACUCACACACCUACGAGAUGCACGGAGCAACCAGGAUGACUUCUAACACACACACCUGUUGUGGAUGAAGAAUUGCUCACUGUACUUUUGUAAUAAAAUAUAAUAACUUAAA
Oncorhynchus kisutch (coho salmon) is the source of this 2366-nucleotide RNA transcript. It is a transcript of the gene named threonine--tRNA ligase 1, cytoplasmic-like, with no coding region annotated. The transcript is spliced from 19 exons. NCBI's taxonomy places the organism in Eukaryota, Metazoa, Chordata, Actinopteri, Salmoniformes, Salmonidae. The record is from RefSeq and is a predicted model, not a curated record.